Molecule: long non-coding RNA, 239 nt
Filed under: Elaeis guineensis (African oil palm)
Lineage: Eukaryota; Viridiplantae; Streptophyta; Magnoliopsida; Arecales; Arecaceae
Description: long non-coding RNA (EGUI_LNC031323)
Source: RNAcentral
ACUUUCAGAAAUCGUUCAUUGUUCUCAAAUUUUUUACUAAUAUGAAGUCCCUGCAAUAAAUUACAGAUAUGAAUUGGACUUUUAAUAUCCAAUAUCCAGAUAGUAGCAUCACAGAUAGAAAAAUUAUAAAGCAUUAUCAUAUAAAUAUAUUGUCCAACAAUCCUUUGCUGAUUUCUCUUUCUAGGCCUGUUCAGGUCAUAGAAAACUAGACAUAGAGAAUAAUUCCUCUUUCAGUCUCC